AUGUUUGGAGGGCCACUGCACGUGUGGAACAAAUAUGCGAUCCAAGUCCUCGUACUACUCAGCUUCGGUCUGCAAAUCAUUCUCCUUAUCCUUGCCUCUACCCGCCGGCGCAGAUCCUCCACCUUGCCGCGGAUCUGCCUGAGGGUGCUCCUUUGGCUCGCCUAUCUCAUGGCCGACUCCACCGCUAUAUACACUCUUGGCCACCUUUCCAUCAAUGGUUGGUUGCCCGAACACGAGCUGGUGGCAUUCUGGGCGCCCUUUCUCCUCUUACAUCUUGGUAGCCAGGACAACAUCACCGCCUACGCCCUCGAGGACAACCAGCUCUGGCCACGCCACCUGCUAACCCUUGGUGUCCAAACCGUUGGAGUUUGUUAUGUGAUGUAUAAACAUAUGACCCACGAAUCAGCCAUGGUGGUAGCAGCCAGCUUGAUGUUCAUGGUUGGUUUCCUCAAGUACUUGGAGAGGACAUGGGCCCUCAAGCGUGCCACCCUUGACAAUAUCCGAAGCUCGAUCAAGGCUCGACCCUCUAGGGAUGCGCCGGUAGGGUCAAAGAAAAAUCAUACACGAGACCCGGAUGAAGAAGAGCUUCUGUUAUUUGCUCACCAUGUGCUCCCAACUUGCAUGGCUGCACUGACUGAUUAUUCUGAGGAUUCGGGUAAAGUUUCCCGACAUUGGAAAGGGGGGCAUAUUGGCAAGGUAGUCGAGAUGGAGCUCUCCCUCAUGUAUGACAUCCUCUACACCAAGGCAACGAUGAUCCACUGUUGGUAUGGCUACUUUCUCCGUGUCAUCUCACUGAUCUCCACUCUUGCUGCAUUACGGUUGUUUCAUUUCUAUGGUAAACAUGGUCAUGCCAAAAUUGAUGUUAUUAUCACCUACAUCUUGUUUGGUGGUGCACUGUUUCUGGACACGGUGUCGUUAGUCAAGGCUGCAAUGUCAACCUGGACAUGUGAUUUGUUGGACAAUAAAGGAGGAUGGGGUAAGACGCUUUCUAAUGUAAUUCAGUCUUCCCGUCGCCUUGUGAAGGCGGCAUCCAGUAGAGGGUGGUCAGGAUCCGUUGGGCAGUAUAAUUUGUUUCACGUGUGCUCUCGUGACACGACCAAGACAAGCAUCAGAGUAUUACGGAUGAUGAAGCUCGAUGAUUGGUGGAAGAAAUAUCAGCACAAGGGGACCUUAGUGAUUCAAAGGGAUGUCAGGGAGUUGUUGUAUGAAGCGAUAUGGUGCACGAUAAAGAAUAAUGAUGAUCUCUCCGGGCUGUUCGACAUGAAAUUGCCGGAAGGUAAUAUCGAGCUUCAGGAUGUGAUCUUUGUCUGGCACAUCACCACCAAUAUCGUCCUCUCGUAUCCCGAAGCAAACGCAGUACAAUCCCCGUGUGUGGGGGCGAUCAAGGCCCUCUCGAACUACAUGAUGUAUCUGGCGGUGGCACGCCACGACAUGCUACCAGCCCUUAAGGUCCGCAGCAUGUGCGAGCAAACCAGCGAUGCUCUGCAGGACAUAUGGAGUGAAGCGACUUCGUGCCAAAGGACGGCAGGUUUUGGCCCCAUACUGCGUGCCCUGGAUAUAAGGAGGCCGUCUUGGUACCACGACUCCGACCGCCCGUAUACUACGGUCAUCUAUGGAACCCUGUUUGCCAAGGAACUGCUACCUGAGGCAGUGGAACAUUCCGCUUCCGCCAAUGAACUCCAUAGAAGCGCACACUCGGAAGAUCGCAUGGAUAAGCGUUGUCGUAACAUUCUUUGGCGCAUAGUGCCCGAGGCAUACACAACUGGUAAUCUGUCUGUGGAAGUGCUUCUGAAGCUCAUCUUGGACGCAUGGGUGCGUAUGCUGGUCGCUGCGUCAAUCAGAUGCAGCAGGGAGUCCCAUGCCAAGCAGCUCAGCCGUGGCGGUGAGCUCAUAACCAUCGCGUGGAUCCUGACGGAGCACUUCCAUAGGCCUGCUCGUCGGUGA
Molecule: ribosomal RNA, 1944 nt
Filed under: Triticum aestivum (bread wheat)
Lineage: Eukaryota; Viridiplantae; Streptophyta; Magnoliopsida; Poales; Poaceae
Description: partial small subunit ribosomal RNA
Source: RNAcentral